This is a non-coding RNA of Myotis davidii, 75 nucleotides long. The record is from Rfam. NCBI's taxonomy places the organism in Eukaryota, Metazoa, Chordata, Mammalia, Chiroptera, Vespertilionidae.
GGUGGUUCUCGGGUGACUCACCCAGGAAACGGGCUCCCUCCUCUCUGGUUCUGGGUGCAUCACCUGAGAACCACA